This 1368-nucleotide long non-coding RNA is filed under the name Canis lupus dingo (dingo). RNAcentral describes it as "lncRNA (ENSCAFG00020019961.1)". The record is from RNAcentral. Lineage: Eukaryota; Metazoa; Chordata; Mammalia; Carnivora; Canidae.
CUGGCGUGCGAAGCCUCCGCCGCGAGGCCCAGGACCGAAGCCACCCCGCAGUGCUUGGGGCACGGCUCCGAGACCCAGUGUUCGCGGGGCACCGUCAGCCCCCUCGGGGGGAUCCCCUGUGUCUGGGGUCCACCCAGGAGCCUGGCAGCCUCCCAAGCCCUCCCCCAGAAAGCAGGUGUAUUCAUUUCCCUGCGCCACACACCGACCCUUCCGCAAAGUCCGCCCCCCGCCAGCCCCGGGCGGGGCACCGCACCGCAGGCACCCGAGGCAGGCCGCCCCAGGGACAGUGGGAUCAGCCUGUGUCCCCAAGGAGGGAGGCUCACCUCUUUGGGGAGAGCAACAAAAGCAGGACUCCCCAUCUGCUUGGGCGCGGGGCUGCUGCAUUUACAAGACGAAUCACCAGGCCGCAUCAACCAGGGUGAAGUGACGGGCGUGGGAAGGGUGGGCACACGGGGGCGGGGGCAGCUCUCCCCCCAGUGGGGACCCGCCCGAGGCUCCUGGGGGGGAGAGGGGCAGCAGAGCCUCUGGGUACCCCAAUCCGCAUAUGCGAUCGGCUCAGAGCCCAGCUCCCCUGCACAGAUCCCGGCCUUCCCGGGCCAGCAGCUGGCCUGGGACCCUUGGGGCCUGCAGAGGGUCUCAACGCUGCCACUGGGGCCAGGUAGCAGGGCCCCUGGCGCGGGGGUCCCGGCCCCCCACAAGGGACAAGGAGGCGGUGUUGUGGGCCCUCUCUUGCCUAAACCUCUCCGCUCCCCGGGUGCUGCUGUGCGCGUCCUCCGUGCCGCCCACCUGGGCCCCUCGGAUCCGAGCGGGGACCUGGGCGGGCUGGCCUCUCUUGCUCACCGGACCCCGCAGGCCGGAUGGGGGGCCGUCUCCCUCGGCGCAGAGCCCGCCCGCCUCCGUGCCAGAUGUGUCAAGCCUCGGCCUGUAGCCCCAAGAUUGGGUUUCCGGCCGGUUCCGCCAGGCAGCUGGCCCCGCAGGUGCGCCCGGAGGGAACAAGCGGCAUCCGUCCUCGGGGCCCCCUCCCGGCAUCUCCUGUGUCCCUGUGCCCGGACACCGCGGUCCGGGGGGCCCCGCCGAGCGACCCAGUGCAAGUCUCACGGGUGGAGCCCCAGCCGGCGGCGGACACCUUCCUCCUACGAGGAGAGGGAGUCGCCCAAGCCCGCGUUCCCGCCUCCUGGAGUUGCCGUCCUGGGAAUCUGUCCCUUUGCUGCUGCUUGUUUUAAAGAAAAGCAACAGAACGUGGUAGAUGAAGGUGGAGUCGCACGCGCCCCUGCCCGUGGCUGGUGCCCUCCAGGUGCCCUCCCCGGCCAGCCUCUCCCGACUGUGCUGGGUCCAUCAUUGGGGUCCAGUGGCCUUCACCGUUCGUAG